RNAcentral lists this ribosomal RNA (1345 nucleotides) under uncultured bacterium. RNAcentral's name for it is "bacterial SSU rRNA". It matches the Rfam family "Bacterial small subunit ribosomal RNA", at positions 28 to 1381 of the family's 1533-position model. The record is from RNAcentral.
GAUGAACGCUAGCGGGAGGCCUAACACAUGCAAGCCGAGCGGUAUCGUUUCUUCGGAAAUGAGAGAGCGGCGUACGGGUGCGGAACACGUGUGCAACCUGCCUUUAUCUGGGGGAUAGCCUUUCGAAAGGAAGAUUAAUACUCCAUAAUAUAUUGAACGGCAUCGUUUAAUAUUGAAAGCUCCGGCGGAUAGAGAUGGGCACGCGCAAGAUUAGCUAGUUGGUGAGGUAACGGCUCACCAAGGCGAUGAUCUUUAGGGGGCCUGAGAGGGUGAUCCCCCACACUGGUACUGAGACACGGACCAGACUCCUACGGGAGGCAGCAGUGAGGAAUAUUGGUCAAUGGGUGCAAGCCUGAACCAGCCAUCCCGCGUGAAGGACGACUGCCCUAUGGGUUGUAAACUUCUUUUGUAUAGGGAUAAACCUACCCUCGUGAGGGUAGCUGAAGGUACUAUACGAAUAAGCACCGGCUAACUCCGUGCCAGCAGCCGCGGUAAUACGGAGGGUGCAAGCGUUAUCCGGAUUUAUUGGGUUUAAAGGGUCCGUAGGCGGACUUAUAAGUCAGUGGUGAAAGCCUGUCGCUUAACGAUAGAACUGCCAUUGAUACUGUAAGUCUUGAGUAUAUUUGAGGUAGCUGGAAUAAGUAGUGUAGCGGUGAAAUGCAUAGAUAUUACUUAGAACACCAAUUGCGAAGGCAGGUUACCAAGAUAUAACUGACGCUGAGGGACGAAAGCGUGGGGAGCGAACAGGAUUAGAUACCCUGGUAGUCCACGCCGUAAACGAUGCUAACUCGUUUUUGGGCUUUAGGGUUCAGAGACCAAGCGAAAGUGAUAAGUUAGCCACCUGGGGAGUACGCUCGCAGGAGUGAAACUCAAAGGAAUUGACGGGGGCCCGCACAAGCGGUGGAUUAUGUGGUUUAAUUCGAUGAUACGCGAGGAACCUUACCAAGACUUAAAUGGGAAUUGACAGCUUUAGAAAUAGAGCUUUCUUCGGACAAUUUUCAAGGUGCUGCAUGGUUGUCGUCAGCUCGUGCCGUGAGGUGUUAGGUUAAGUCCUGCAACGAGCGCAACCCCUGUCACUAGUUGCCAUCAUUCAGUUGGGGACUCUAGUGAGACUGCCUACGCAAGUAGAGAGGAAGGUGGGGAUGACGUCAAAUCAUCACGGCCCUUACGUCUUGGGCCACACACGUAAUACAAUGGCCGGUACAGAGGGCAGCUACACAGCGAUGUGAUGCAAAUCUCGAAAGCCGGUCUCAGUUCGGAUUGGAGUCUGCAACUCGACUCUAUGAAGCUGGAAUCGCUAGUAAUCGCGCAUCAGCCAUGGCGCGGUGAAUACGUUCCCGGGCCU